Molecule: ribosomal RNA, 255 nt
Filed under: uncultured bacterium
Lineage: Bacteria
Description: partial 16S ribosomal RNA
Rfam family: Bacterial small subunit ribosomal RNA
Source: RNAcentral
UACGGAGGGUGCGAGCGUUGUUCGGAAUCACUGGGCGUAAGGCGCACGUAGGUGGUCUGUUAUGUCAGAUGUGAAAGCCCUCGGCUUAACUGAGGAAGUGCACCUGAAACUGGCAGGCUUGAGUACGAAAGAGGGUCGCGGAAUUCCCGGUGUAGAGGUGAAAUUCGUAGAGAUCCGGAAGAACACCGGUGGCGAAGGCGGCCUGCUGGGCAGUUUAGCUGACACUGAGGCGCGACAGCGUGGGGAGCAAACAGG